GUCUACGGCCAUACCACCCUGAACGUGCCCGAUCUCGUCUGAUCUCGGAAGCUAAGCAGGGUCGGGCCUGGUUAGUACUUGGAUGGGAGAAAAGAUAAUAUAGUUGCAUAUU
RNAcentral lists this ribosomal RNA (112 nucleotides) under Mustela putorius furo (domestic ferret). The record is from RNAcentral. Lineage: Eukaryota; Metazoa; Chordata; Mammalia; Carnivora; Mustelidae.